GUAAUCUGAGCGUCUUAUUUUAAUAAGUCAAAACUUUCAACAACGGAUCUCUUGGUUCUGGCUCCGAUGAAGAACGCAGCGAAAUGCGAUAAGUAAUGUGAAUUGCAGAAUUCAGUGAAUCAUCCGAAUCUUUGAACGCACAUUGCGCCCUUAAGUAUUCUAGUGGGCAUGCCUGUUCGAGCGUCAUUUCAACCCUUAAGCCU
RNAcentral lists this ribosomal RNA (203 nucleotides) under Pestalotiopsis funerea. RNAcentral's name for it is "5.8S ribosomal RNA". The stretch from base 32 to 186 matches the Rfam family "5.8S ribosomal RNA". From Rfam's summary of the family: 5.8S ribosomal RNA (5.8S rRNA) is a component of the large subunit of the eukaryotic ribosome. It is transcribed by RNA polymerase I as part of the 45S precursor that also contains 18S and 28S rRNA. Lineage: Eukaryota; Fungi; Ascomycota; Sordariomycetes; Amphisphaeriales; Sporocadaceae. The record is from RNAcentral.